Long non-coding RNA from Bubalus bubalis (water buffalo), 3324 nucleotides. RefSeq lists it as uncharacterized. Lineage: Eukaryota; Metazoa; Chordata; Mammalia; Artiodactyla; Bovidae. The record is from RefSeq and is a predicted model, not a curated record. The transcript has 3 exons.
AAUUUAAAGAUGAUGGAAAACAAGGACUCUUAUCACGCUUCCACUACCUCUAAUGAUAGACAGAAAUGCAAUGCUUUCUCAAAGAACAGAGUGAACAGCUGAGAGUUUCCAAAGCAUGUUGGCUCACAUCCAAUGACUGAUGCGUGCAAUGCUCAGGAUGCAAUAGGUUGUUGACAUGACAGUAACAUCCUGAGAUUGUUGACUAUCUGGAAAAUGUGUCUAAAUUGCAAGGAGUUGGAGGGAAGCCAAGAUUAUUAAGAGUUAUCUUGCCCAAUCAAGGGCAGCUUUCAAGGGGAAAUGAACAGAAGGAUGUAGGAGGUAAAGGAGCACUGGUUGAGUACCCACUGAUUCAGUUCAGUUCAGUGUCUUUCUGUAAAUACUAUCUCACUAGAUCCUUUGAGGUAAGUGCCAUUCCCAUUUUCAGAUGAAAAAACCAAGACCCAUGGAGUUUACAUAAAUUUCACAAGGCCACACUGAUCCAUUAUUAAAGUCAGGGUUAAAACUUAGGCUGCAAAGCUCUAAAACCUGGCUCCUUCUUCUCCACUGCAGUGUUUUCCAGCUCUCUCAAUUCCCUUUGUGUAUGAAGGCCCAGCCAGGGAGAGCCUCCAGGGAGGGCCUAUGUAAUUAGGACAUGGGAGUGGAGAUCUGGAACUUCUUGCUCAUAAAACCUCCUGGAUCUUGGCCUAAUCAAAAACUAACCACCAAUACACCUUUUAGGCCAACUCAACACUUUCCUACUUAGAAUCCCUAUUUUUUCUAAAAUGACAUUUCUCUGAGAAAUACACUUAACUAGGUGAAAGGUGCAUGUCUAGGCCUUUUCCCCUUUGCUUUCAGCAUAUGAUAACCUUUCUGGUCAUGUCCAGUCUCCUUGGUCCUUGUCCUCAUCACAGAGCAAGCACAUGUUUACGCAACCUUUAUACCACAUGGCUCUGAGCAGCACAUGCUCUGAUCUGGACCAGGCCCAUCUGGACGAGGGGGGAUGGCCUUCCACUGACCCUUCCAGGAAACACCUGUCCUCCCCAGGUUUCCCCGGGGCCCAUGCUCGUGGUAGCAGUGCGAGGACCGGGGCAGAGUGGGCUGAAGCUUACUCCUCCACAGGAAGUCCAGAACUGGUUCCACUAACUUCUCCAGGAUGAACCUGGAGAAGCCCGAAUGUCUUUGUUCACUCUUAAAUCCUCCCAAGUCCUUCCUUCUAUCGUUUCAAGGCUUGGCUACACAUACUUGCGACACAAAUUUAACACUCAGGAGAAAAACAAGCAACAAGUUAAGGCAUGUAAGACACAAGAACCUACACUCAGAGAUAGGUGGAGGCUCCAGGCACUCCUUGUUUACUCCUUUACUCUUUCUGUCCUCGGGCUGGUUGUUCCUUAGGAUCCUGUCUUGGGCAUCUUCUCUCUUCAGUGUUCUCAUUCUCCCCAGGUAAUCUCAUUCUUCAGCAUGACAGUGAUCGCCACCUAACUUGUCGAUGACUCUGAAAUCUCUCGCCUCAAACCCCAGCAUCCACCUUUCCACUAGCCACCUCUAUCUGGAAACCACUCAGGACACAGACCGGCAGAAGCAGCUGUUGCCUAAGCACACUGGGCAAGUGUUUGCACGGGGGACUGUACAUGAAGCUGUAACUCCAGGCUGGUAACUGAUAAGAUACCAGAUGCACAACUGAUGCAUCUAAGUGAGUCAUUAUCUUCCAAAGCACUCAUCUUGAAAUCAUCGAAGGGAUUAAUAAGUGAUUAUCCUUUUGAGGUCGUUUCAAAUGCUGUCUAAAACUUGAAACUGGAUGCAAGGUUGGAACUGCGGCUCACUGAGCCUGAAGAGCACCCUCUCUGGGGGUGGGCACGAACAAUGGAAAAGAUGAAAAGAAAGGUGAUUUAGAUGUUACGACUACCCAGGGAACUGAGCAACUGUGAAGCAACUGUGCCAAGGAAGAGUGGACUAUGUAGAUGUAAAAUCCUAAUGUUACAUGACCUUUCUGUUUAACUUUCAAGUGAGCAGCACACUGCAGUAUCACUAUAGGAUCGUUGCUGUUGACCAGGAAGCUGUCUACAAGAAGACAGUCAAAUGAGAAUGGAGAAAUUACAGACACCACCGUCUUCAAUUAAAAUUUCUUCUUCCUGCUCUGAAAAUAAGUUUUCAUAUUUUAAAGGAAAAGUGCCAGAUCUGUGCUCCCUCAAUUCCAGGUACGGCAUGCCACGGACAUGCAUCAAGUCCAUCCUGGAACCCAAGGGAAAUGCUUUGCUCUCUUUCAUCUAACCAAUCAUUUAUUCAUCAACCAUCUAUUUUUAUCCUACAUACCUGUCAAGACCCAAUCUGAGAAGCUUUGCUUAAUUAUUUAAUUCUACUUAUUUCUUCCUUUCCUGAAUACCUGUAACAUAGCUAUUGGCCUCAGGCAUUCUAGCAUGUAGUGAUUCAUGCAUGACUUGGGUUGUCCUCAGGGGCAGUCACAAACACAAAUGACUCCCAAGGGCUAGGCAGAUAAUGUAAAUGAAGUCUUCUCCAUGAGUUAGCUAAUACAGCGUCCUAAGCAAGGGAGGGAACUAGAGAAUGGGUGUUCUCAGUAAGGGCAGUCACACCUUCACUCCAGUCAACCACUGCCUGGCAGUAAUGCAGGUUAAGGGUCAUAUAUCUUCUAGUUUUUUGAGAGGAGCCAGAUAUCCAGCUUUGUAUGUGAUCUUUUAAAAUGACGGUUCAAUUUUACAAAAACACUACGUAGGACAAAUAGAACAGGUGCUUCACACUGUAGGUUACAGCCUCUGACGUAAGUUUUCUCUCCAGAAGGCGAUGAGCUUCUUGAGCUCAUUGUUUCUGAAUCCCCCACAGCAGCUCAUGUAAAUAACAUGUGUAAUAAAUGCCUGACAAACGACUGUCCAACUUUGCAGAAUACCACAUUCAAGCCAAGCAAAAUCAUUGCCUCAGCUGAUGCUCUGUAGCCUAUAGGUGAUGAAAAGUCUUCCCCUAAAAUUCGUUUAUGUAUUAAAGCUUCCCACUCUGCCCCUGAAUCUGGUGGGUCUUGAUGUAUUCGUCUGAGAGGUAUAAAUAUGGUUUUAAUUUGUUCUCUGCCAUCUUUUCAUAAAAUUCUGUCUCAACCUCAACCUUCCAUUUCUCUAUAGCUACCACUAAUAGGGUAAACUCAUUACCUCUUUUCUAUCAUUUCAUUCGCUUCUCACACAUCCUUCCACAUACACCACUCCUUAGGAAUCACCCUCAAUGAUAAGGCCAACAGUGACCUCUUUUUAUUUUUAUUGGAGUAUAAUUGCUUUACAAUGUUGUGUUACUUUCUGCUGUACAACAAUGUGAAUCAACUUUAUGUAUACAUAUAUCCUUUCCCUC